RNAcentral lists this transfer RNA (77 nucleotides) under Crocinitomicaceae bacterium. Its description in RNAcentral is "tRNA-Arg". It matches the Rfam family "tRNA". Rfam says of the family: Transfer RNA (tRNA) molecules are approximately 80 nucleotides in length. Their secondary structure includes four short double-helical elements and three loops (D, anti-codon, and T loops). Lineage: Bacteria; Pseudomonadati; Bacteroidota; Flavobacteriia; Flavobacteriales; Crocinitomicaceae. The record is from RNAcentral.
GCCGCAGUAGCUCAAAUGGAUAGAGCAUUGCGCUUCUAACGCAAUGGUUGAGGGUUCAAGUCCUUCCUGUGGUACUA